RNAcentral lists this ribosomal RNA (851 nucleotides) under Mycobacteroides chelonae. RNAcentral's name for it is "bacterial SSU rRNA". It matches the Rfam family "Bacterial small subunit ribosomal RNA", at positions 29 to 895 of the family's 1533-position model. Lineage: Bacteria; Bacillati; Actinomycetota; Actinomycetes; Mycobacteriales; Mycobacteriaceae. The record is from RNAcentral.
GCGAACGCUGGCGGCGUGCUUAACACAUGCAAGUCGAACGGAAAGGCCCUUCGGGGUACUCGAGUGGCGAACGGGUGAGUAACACGUGGGUGAUCUGCCCUGCACUCUGGGAUAAGCCUGGGAAACUGGGUCUAAUACCGGAUAGGACCACACACUUCAUGGUGAGUGGUGCAAAGCUUUUGCGGUGUGGGAUGAGCCCGCGGCCUAUCAGCUUGUUGGUGGGGUAAUGGCCCACCAAGGCGACGACGGGUAGCCGGCCUGAGAGGGUGACCGGCCACACUGGGACUGAGAUACGGCCCAGACUCCUACGGGAGGCAGCAGUGGGGAAUAUUGCACAAUGGGCGCAAGCCUGAUGCAGCGACGCCGCGUGAGGGAUGACGGCCUUCGGGUUGUAAACCUCUUUCAGUAGGGACGAAGCGAAAGUGACGGUACCUACAGAAGAAGGACCGGCCAACUACGUGCCAGCAGCCGCGGUAAUACGUAGGGUCCGAGCGUUGUCCGGAAUUACUGGGCGUAAAGAGCUCGUAGGUGGUUUGUCGCGUUGUUCGUGAAAACUCACAGCUUAACUGUGGGCGUGCGGGCGAUACGGGCAGACUAGAGUACUGCAGGGGAGACUGGAAUUCCUGGUGUAGCGGUGGAAUGCGCAGAUAUCAGGAGGAACACCGGUGGCGAAGGCGGGUCUCUGGGCAGUAACUGACGCUGAGGAGCGAAAGCGUGGGUAGCGAACAGGAUUAGAUACCCUGGUAGUCCACGCCGUAAACGGUGGGUACUAGGUGUGGGUUUCCUUCCUUGGGAUCCGUGCCGUAGCUAACGCAUUAAGUACCCCGCCUGGGGAGUACGGUCGCAAGACA